CGCCUCGCGGGCGACUGGGGGAAGUGGAUGGGGGAGCCUGGCCAGGGCUGACUGAGCGCCCCUGGAAUCCGUGCUCCGGGCGUUGGCUCACUCCCGCCCCGACACCUGGGCCCGCCCUCCCGCUGCGCAGCCACGCGCCGGGCAGCAGCGUGGGCUGGCGGGCGACUCCCCACGCCUCCUGCAACACCGCCCUCUCCCUACCGGAGCGAGGAGGCAGGAAAAGCCUAGAGACGCCUGGUCCCAUCCGCCUACCCAGUCCCCAGCCGGCCUGAAGGGAGGAAGAGGAAGGAACCCAUAAUCAUCCCAAACUGGCGCAAAUGGCAGGAGGAGACACCAGUGUGCACCAGAGAAGGAGAAGUCAGAGAUGACAGUCCCUGCCUGAGGCCAUCUCUGGUCCACCAGACAACUCAUCACCAACUUCCCAACAGCCACUGCUCUAGGCCAGGUGUCCACAUGGGGAAUAGGUCCAGGCCCUCUAUGGCUCUCGCAGGAGUCAGGGAGGCAGAUAAAUAACAUAUCACAAAGACAGAAUAUAAGAAAUGCCUGGGAGGAGGCAUACUGAUGCGUGGAAAGUACUCAGCCAGAAGCCUGGCACUAGAAGGGCCCAGGGAUUGUUGGCAUGUAUGAGUCACAGUUCCAUUUCAGUGGAGUGAGCAGGGAGAGAAUCUCCUGGAAGUAGGUGAAUAGAGAAAAUACAGCCUCUUCCUUACCUUUGAAUUUUUUUAGGCUCCCUGUGAUGGAGUCAUGUCUUGAUUUUGCUUCACUGAGUUUUUUCUCCAGUUCCAGAGGAACAGGGGUUGGGUUGAGAAACUGAAACUCUUCACUUCUAGGAAGAUGUGGUUGAGCUGGUUGGUGAGAUCAGGGGAUGAGGUGUGGGAGAAGGAGGAUCUGAGAUACGCGGUUGAGAAAUGAGGGGAUGAAGACCUGGGGGUAGAACUGAGAGCAGUGGCUCACACCUGUAAUCCCAGCACUUUGGGAGGCUGAGGCGGGUGGAUCACCUGAGGUCAGGAGUUCAAGACUAGCCUGGCCAACAUGGUAAAACCUGGUCUCUACUAAAAAUAUGAAAAUUAGCCAGGCUUGGUGGCAAGCGCCUGUAGUCUCAGCUACUUGGGAGGCUGAGGCAGGAGAAUCACUUGAACCUGGGAGACAAAGGUUGCAGUGAGCUGAGAUUGCACCACUGCACUCCAGCCUGAGCAACAAGAGCAAAGCUCCAUCUCAAAAAAAAAAAAAAAAAAAAAAAAAGAAGACCUGGCGGUUAAGGGAUAGUGAGCUGGGAGUCAGAAAGUCAGGGCUAGGGAUAUGGGGCGGGAGUGAGGUAGGGCAUAGGGAGAUAUGGAAAUGAAGAUGGGAGAUGGAGACAGAGAGGAGGGAAAAAAACAGGGUCAGGGAGACAGAGUAGGGGACCCAGGAGCUAUUCAGUUGAGCAAGGGGGCAUUCAGGAAAUAGUAGAAUCUGUGCUGAAGAAGGAGGAAGGCUGAGAAAACAGCUGGUUUCUUUAACAACCAACCACGUGCUAAUAUGGUUGGCAUAGGCAUUCCCCGGCUGCAGCCUAAAUGUAUGAAUGCAGAGUUAGAGGUGGGUGGGUAUUUCUGAGAGAGGAAUGUUGACUGCAUUUGGAUAUACGCUGAGAAUUGUGUGUGGAUGAAUCAGUAGGCAAAAUACAUUUGGGGUGGCCCAUCAUACCUGCACAAGACGACUUUGAUAUCCUAGAAGAGAAAGAGAAACAGCACAGCCUCAGCACUUGGCUGAUUCCCAGGAGCCAAGGAGGAGAUACAGAGCCUGCUGGGUGUGGGGCAGAGCAGGAGGAGUAAGAACCCCUCCAAGUCUCUCUUACCCCAUCCUCCUCCCCUCUCCCCACCACGAAGGGCUUCUCCAAGAAGCACUGCUCUGCCAGUAAGCAGAAAAGUGUUUUGACCUCAAGAAGAACUGAGUGAAGAAGAGAAGAGUGAGAUUUAGAAGAUGAAUUUGGCUCUGAGACUGAACAAGGGAGCCUGCUAGCCAGGGCAGGAGAAAGGCUAGAAUGGCUUUGCAUGAUCUUUCUUAAAAUAAAUAAAUAGGUUUUUGAACCUGUGGGAGAAUAGAUGACUUGAGGAGGAAUCAUCUCAGCUUAUUUUAAGCACCAGCUAGACUUGCACUGUCCAAUAUGGUAGCCACCAACCACAUGUGGCUACUGAACAUUGGAAAUUGUGGCUAGUGUGACAAAGAACUGAAUUUUUAAUUUCAUUUUUACUAAUUCAAAUUUAAAUUAAAAAUAGAGGCCAGGCACGGUGGUUCACGCCUGUAAUCCCAGCACUUUGGGAGGCUGAGGUGGGCAGAUCACUUGAGGUCAGGAGUUCGAGACCAUCCUGGCCAACAUGGUAAAACCCCGUGUCUGCUAAGAAUACAAAAAUUAGCUGGGCGUGGUGGUGGGGACCUGUAAUCCCAGCUACUUGGGACUUGGGCCUAGGAGGCGGAAGUUGUAGUGCGCCAAAAUCGCGCCACUGUACUCCAGCCUGGGCAACAGAGCAAGAUUCCAUCUCAAAAAAUAAAAUAAAAUAAAUAGAAGAAGGGUAAAGUACUUUUUCCAUUAAACACAACUUUAUUGAUUUGGUAAGACUAUAUUUUACUUUAACAAUUGACAAUUUAGCAUCUGAAUUGAGAUGUGCCAAAGUGAAAAAUAUACACACAAUUUCAAAGACUCAGUGUAAAAAAAAAAAAAAAAAAAACCACCAAAAACCCAGAAUGUGAAAUAUCUCAUUAAUACUUUUAAAAUAUUCAUUACAGGCUGAAAGGAUAAUAUUUCAGAUAUAUUGAGUUAAAAUAUUUUAUUAAAAUUAAUUUCACUUUUAUCAUUUUAAUGUGACUAACUAGAAAAAUUUGUAAUUCCAUAUGUGGCUGAAACUACAUUUCUAAAUCACACAUGUGGCCAGAAUUAUAUUUAUGAAUUACAUAUGUGGCUCACAUUUUCAUUCUAAUACAUGCGGCUCACAUAUUGCUAUUGGACAGCACUGGGCUAGAGGUAGGAUGGUUGGGGCAAUCUCAGGUAUUCUGCCAGUGGUCCAUGCUCUGACCUGAGACUAGGGAUGGGCUGCUACCUCUCUGCAAUUCUGCCCCCAAGGGACUCACCUCCAGCAGCUGCCUGGGUGGCAUGUUCUGCUUGGUCUUCAGGGAAUCAACGAGCUUCUUGAGAUCGUUCAACUGUGGCUCAGUGGAGGCAACAUAGUGUUUCCCCGCUUCCGUUCCCUCAUGACCCAGCCAGUAAAUCCGUGAUAGCAGGAAAUUCUUCUCCUCCUCUAGGACUUGAUGCAGGAGUUCAAAUUCUGUGAGGAUCCUUUGCUUCUCAUGUUCUACCUGGUCCUAAGAAACAGGGACAGGCAGAGGGUGAGAGGAUGGCCUCGAAGGUCCUUCUAGCCCACUUUAUUCAGCCAUUAAUUUUAUUAAGUUUGUGUGGAAUUCCCAACCAGAGCAAUGUGCCAGGGCAGACCUGGAAGAAAGGAAAGGAGAGGAGAACAAACUUCUAAAAGCACCUACUACGUGCUCAGCUUUAAGCGAAAUUAUUAAUUUAUGGUUUACCACUUGCCUUCAAGGAACUGUCUAAUACAAUUCCAGAAGGCUUUUCAGUUUAUAAUCUUUCAUAUAGAUUUUAUUCCUUUCACGCACACAGGAAAAUAGGUAAGUGGGGUCACAAUGUCUUCAUUUUCCUUCUGUCUUUUUUUUUUUUUUUUUUUGAGACAGUCUCUCACUCUGUCACUCAGGCUGGAGUGCAGUGCACGAUCACGGCUCACUGCAGCCUCAUCCUCCCAGGCUCAAACAAUACUUUCACCUCCCAGCCUCUCUAGUAGCUGGGACUACAGGCGUGUGCUACCACGCCCGGCUAGUUUUCUUUCUUUUUUUUUUUAAUUAAGAGGAGAGUCUCGCUAUGUUGCCCAGGCUGGUCUCAAACUCCUGGGCUCAAGCGAUCCUCAGCCUCCCAGAGUGCUGUGAUUACUGGCGUGAGCCACCGCGCCCGGCCAAUGUCUUCAUUUUCUAAUUGGGGAAUCCGUUGAGGGCGCAGCUCGGCCUUAAAAACCUGUACUUGCGAUUCUAAGACCAGCGCGGGUUUUCCGUGCCCCACCUUGUCUGCCGGUGGAGACUGAGCAGUCAGCCCGCUGUAAUAGCGAGGCCGACGCGGGAGGUGAUGCCGCCUGGCCGGUCAGGUGCUGAGGCGCCGAGGAGAGGACAUGGCUCACUGGAUCUUUUUCUGAGGGGUCAGUGUAAUAGGGGAUUCCAGGAGCUUUGGCAGAGAUGUUUCUGCUUCCAGAGAUCGUGGGAUGGAGUUUUUCUUACCGUGAAGACAUCGACCCUGUGUACACCUUGUGCCUUCACUUGUACUGUCUCCUUCUCCUUUUGCUGCAAGACUUGGAUCUGCUCUUGAAUCUGCCCCUGCGGAAAGAGGGCCGUUUGGACAGGCUGUGCCUGGAGAUUUCUGGCCUCAUAAAAUCCUCCUGGUCUCUUAGGAGAGCUGGUGACACUCUCCAGGUGAGUCCUUGUGUAAUUAUUAAGGACUCGCCUUUCUCAAGCUGGCGGGGAAAGGGGUUGCUGAGAAGGGAGAAAUCUGGAGCCUAAGUGACCUAAAUGACCAGAACAUAGUUAUUUAUGACUAACUAGGACUAUGGAUGGUGCUUUGGAAUUAUCAAAGAACUACAAACUUCCCUUCAUCUGUCCUACCAACAACUUUAAGAGAGUUGUUUUGUUUUUGCCAUUUGAAAGGUGAGGUACCUGAGGCUCAGAGAGGUAAAGUGAUUCCUUGCAGGUUGUACAGUAAACUCACAAGACUGGGCUUGAGCCCAAACCUUCUGAGUCAAAUUUUCACAUCCUUUCCAUUCUCCAUUGCACCUUGAUUUAGAGAGUCAGCAGUUCCCCAGACUCAGCUCUUUGAACCCACUGUGCCUGACUGCGAGCUGCCCACUCAAGCCCAAGGGGUGGGGGCAAUGGGGUGCAAACCCUCAGUGGGAAGGUAGCAGUUUCCAGGGCCUCACUGAACUCCUGGGCUGAUGGGGGAACAGGGAAGAAACCUCAAAUGCCUACCUGAUAAUUCUGGGCAGCUUCUUCGAUCAAGCUGACAUUAUGGGAUUUGUGGUCCUUGGAUUCACGACACACAAAACAGAGGAACUUCCCAUCAUCCUCGCAGAAAUAGUGGAACAUCUCCUGGUGCCUCGGGCAUGUAGCCUCUUUCCUUUUGGACUGCACCUCAGAGGCUUGUAGAGCUUGGAUUUUCUCCACCAGAUUCCGCAACAGCGAGUUGAACCUGAUUGCGUUCUUCCUUACGGAAGUUUUGCAGAGGGGACAUUUGAAAAAUCCACAUGAUGUUUCCCCAAUCUGAGUGAUGCAUUUGAGGCAGAAAUUGUGCCCACAGUCGAUGGUGACAGGUUUCUGCAGAAUGUCCAGGCAGAUGGGGCAGAUCACUUCCUCUUGCAGUUUGUUCACAAACUGCCCACUGGCCAUGACAGAACAACAGGGCUGUUUCAAGACUGUAGGAAGCUGUGCCAAGUCUGUAGGAGCCCCGGAGUCCACUGUGGAUACUGUUUCUAGGAAGGGAGAAGGGAGUCAGAGAAAGUGGAGGUCAGAGAUUCUGCCAAUUAGUUAGAAGAGCAGAGAGAGAGGAAAAGAAGAGGGAGAAAAAAAUAAAGAAAUGAUAGAAAAGCGUAAAAUUUAGGAUCUAGAAAAUAUUAUAAAGAGAGGAAAACAGAUGGGCAGUCCUACCUUGCUACCUCUUGAGAACAAAUGGAUACUUUGAAUGUGUAAUAGGCUGCUUAUAAAGUGAAAUAAGUUGUCCUGAACUUUGGACUAAAGGUAUGUUUGUAUGGUGGUUGACUAAGAUCAGAAUGACCGGGGCACCAAACACCACUUAUGGGGGAUUUCCCAAUCAGCUCUGAGUAGGGAGUGGAGGGGUGGGUGGUGAUGCCUACUGAAAGGUCACAGCCAGUUCACUGCAAUGCUUUGGGCAUCUUGUAUGCAAAGUUCAAGCCUUGGUAGAGCAUCUGGAAAGUAGGGGAAGGGCAAUUCUCUACCUCAGGUGCUUUGGCUCCUCACAGAAUUUUGUGAAAAUGUGGAGGUUAUCAUCACCUACCUUGGGGAAUUUCCAGUCACAGGGUCAACCAACCACUCCCUAGCUCAGUAGGAUAGGCAAGGAACUUCCUUUCUAAAGAGUUGUUCUUUGUUUUUGCACUUUGCUCUUGCCCCUGGUGAUCUUCUGUCUCCCCACAACACCUGUAGUAGUCUGUCCUCUGUUGAUUUUUUCUCUGUAUGUCUCCAGUAUGCUGGUGUCUCCGUGCCCAUUCUUUGCUUUGCCAAUUCUGUCUAUAUGUUCUUCUUCUUCCUUCUUGGUGCUUCUCUGAUCCCUGACUUGCCUUCUAUGGCUUUUGUUAUGACUAGGAAUAUAUCAACCAGUGUUACAUACAUUCCCUUCUGUACAUUCAUGUCCUAACCUUCCCUCCUUGCCUCUUGUCUUAAGGAAAAGGGUGCUUCCUCCCUACCCCUUCUCUUGGUAUAGCUUCCACCCUCACCUCCUCACUCUCCAUUAUCAGCCGUCUGUCCCCAGCAAGAAGUACACCAUUAAUUUUUGUCUGAUCUUAAUCUUAGGUCAAACAGGGCUUGUGGAUGAUUAUUAUAAUAAUAGCCAGAGUGAUCAUACACUCUGCUUUGCCUGGAACCAUCCUGGGUUUCACUUUGUCCUGGUGUAAUUAUUAAUAGCACCUCCUUUCACUUUCAGAAAUGUCCAGUUUGGACUAUAAAUUAUGUGGCUCCCCUUAUAGCAACUGCUGUAAACCAAAGACUUUCAGAAAUGUUAUACCUCCAGACCUUUCUUUUUGUUUGUUUUAGGGUUAAAUUAAAACAGUCUAACAUCUGUAAAUUGUUUUACUUACACUCCUAAACUGCUGGCCCCUAGAAGCAGAAUUUAACUUUUGACAGGUUUUGUUUGACUGGCAUGAUGAUUUAGAAAAUAAUGAUAAUGUAGAUGCCUUUAGAGAGGGUGGCUAUGUUCCCCACCGCUCUGCUACCUCACGUCUCCUUGGCCCUUGAAGGCAUUUGACAUUAUGACUCUGAUUUAUAGAUUUAUUUUGCUUAUAUUACCUCAUUUAAGUCUCACCUGUAAGAAAUUAUCUUUAUCCUUUCUCAAAAAAGGAACUCAGUAUUCUUCAGAAUCACUUGGAAAACUUGUUAAAAUUCAGAUUUGCUGAACUCCAGUAGAGACUUUCUCUUUCAACAGGUCCUUGGUGGAGCCUGAUGAUUGACAUCUUAAGCAAAUUCUCUGGAGAAGUCGAUGCUCCUGAUGGAGGCUCACACAUUGAUAACCCCUGGUUUAGAGACACUACUAAUUGUUCCAGCUCAUCCAGCUAAUAAAUGACAGAUCUCAGACU
Molecule: long non-coding RNA, 7379 nt
Filed under: Homo sapiens (human)
Lineage: Eukaryota; Metazoa; Chordata; Mammalia; Primates; Hominidae
Description: HSALNT0333587
Source: RNAcentral